UCUAGCGCCAGCUUAGCUCUCCGUUUCGGCCAAACUAUUUUCUCAGCUGCUUUGUUGAUCUUCAUGUGUUUCGAUUAAGAUUUCUAUGAUUUCACCACCUUCUGCUAUUUGGCGACUGUGAUGGCAAUUGUAACUCCAUGGAGCAUCUUAAUUACUUGCCUUGACCGACACAUACUCUUGUCUUAGUGAAACUCCUCCCUCAAGAAUUACGACCUCUUUUUCCAUCGUUUUCGCAGGUACUCUCAGCUCGUUUCUCUCUUUGGGUGUGGCCUGUGCUGUAGCUAGUGAAAGUGAACUGCUUUAGUCUGCCGAUGGACAAGCCUGUGAUGGCAACCUCUGCAGCCAAUACCAAGUCGUGGCCGCAUUGGCUCUCUCGUGUUGGUUUCUGUUACUUGCUUCAGUUUUUGCAGUUUACCUUCUUCAUGCUAUAUAUAUUGACAUUAACAGACUUAUGACUUCUUCUUACAAUUAUAGAUAGGAAUCAUAAUCAUUAGGACAUGGAUGUACACUCUAUAUACAACCCUAGACAUGUC
Long non-coding RNA from Camelina sativa (false flax), 533 nucleotides. RefSeq lists it as uncharacterized. The record is from RefSeq and is a predicted model, not a curated record. Lineage: Eukaryota; Viridiplantae; Streptophyta; Magnoliopsida; Brassicales; Brassicaceae.